This 436-nucleotide ribosomal RNA is filed under the name uncultured Saccharofermentans sp. RNAcentral's name for it is "partial 16S ribosomal RNA". It matches the Rfam family "Bacterial small subunit ribosomal RNA", at positions 341 to 792 of the family's 1533-position model. Lineage: Bacteria; Bacillati; Bacillota; Clostridia; Eubacteriales; Oscillospiraceae. The record is from RNAcentral.
ACGGGAGGCAGCAGUGGGGAAUAUUGGGCAAUGGGCGCAAGCCUGACCCAGCAACGCCGCGUGAAGGAUGAAGGUCUUCGGAUUGUAAACUUCUUUAAUCGGGGAAGAAUAAAAUGACCUACCCGAAGAAUAAUCCACGGCUAACUACGUGCCAGCAGCCGCGGUAAUACGUAGGUGGCAAGCUUUAUCCGGAUUUACUGGGUGUAAAGGGCGUGUAGGCGGCUUUGCAAGUCAGAAGUGAAAUUCUCGAGAUCAACUCGGGAGCUGCUUCUGAAACUGCAGAACUUGAGUACUGGAGGGGAAAGCGGAAUUCCUAGUGUAGCGGUAAAAUGCGCAGAUAUUAGGAGGAACACCGGUGGCGAAGGCGGCUUUCUGGACAGUAACUGCCGCUGAGGCGCGAAAGCGUGGGGAGCAAACAGGAUUAGAUACCCUGGUA